UUUUCAGUCACUAUGUCCUUUCAAAAUAGAAAGGUUUUUUUUUUUGUUUUUUUUUUGUUUUUGUUUUCUGAACAUUUGCUUUAACGGAAUUCUCCCUUGGAAUCCUCUGUAUUAUAUCUGGAUCUUAUGGUGAUACGAAGCAGAACAGAAGGGUUCUCCUCUCUUCUAAUUGAUCUUUUUCCCCCCUAGAAAGUUGCCUUGGGAUCCUUCUGGACAAUUGUGCACUGGGUGACUGGGGCUGCUCCCCAUCAAGAGCAAACGGGCCUCAGAACUGAUUUCUGUAAUAAGAUUUGUCAUUGUUGCUCAGCUUUCCCUGCAAUGCACCACAGAGGUCUGCUGCAGUCAGAGCCGCUCUUCAUACUGCAGCAGCUUAAUAAUUUAUAAGAUAUCUCAGUGUUGCAACUUAGAACACAUAUUUAGGAUGGCUCAGCUUGCUGUUUAUCAAAUACUUGGAUAUAAGGGACAUUUUGUAACUAAUCGCUUUCAGGACCACCAUUAGGCUCCAGAGACAAACUCUGAACACAGUAUACUUCACAUGAACUGACAGCUCUGGUUUUAUUUUUAGCUUUCAACCUAACCUUUGGGUAAUAAUUAACUACUUACACUACAGGUAAAUGCAAGAGCAUGGUUCAAAACUCACAAAUAUUUGCAAGUUGCCAAUGGCAACAGCGUAAUGACCCUGUGUGUUGGACGUUACUGGAGGAAGAGGUGGGUGUUAAAUCCAAUUUGUACAAGGGAGGUGCUGAAAGGCAUUGGUGUCAUGUGAUCUGCCAGGAACCACUGCAUGGAGGAUUUGGAUCUUCAGCCAAGUCUCCUAACUCCAAACCUACUGUUUUGUCACUAAUGCUACUCUUUGUUAAGUGUCAGGGUAUUAGGCUUCUCAACUCCCCAGCCGAGUUCCUGAAUGUUAGGGGGAAAAAUAUAAUUUUACUCAGCUAAUGCCAGAGUAGAGAAUAUAUUUUGCAAUAAUACCUUCGUGCAUAAGGGUUAGUGAUUUCACCAUUGUUUCGAUGAGGAAACUCAAGUAAAGACAAGCUGUGUAACUGGAAAACUAUGACAUGGUUAGGAAAUGAAGAUUCGACUAUAGUCAACCAGUAACUGCUCUCCAUCGUUAUGAUCUGGGUAAUCUACAUAGCAGUUGAGUAGAGCCUGGCUUUAAUGGUGACUAAGCAAGUUCACAUACUCAUUUGGGACCCCAUUCUGUGGUCCCAAAUUUAUUGACACAAUCCAGCUAGAAAUCACUGCACUCUUCCUUUAGCCUUCUUUCCAGGGUUGAAGUCAAAAUCUGGUGGUUACAGCCAUCACAAUUCCUGUUUGCCCAGGUCAAUUCUGCUUUGCAUCUGUUGUCCAUAGUCAGUGCUACCAAUACACCCUUUGCACCCGCAGUACCAUCCCAGCAUGAUGGACAGCUCAUUUGCUAAGAAAUGCUAUCGUUUCUCAACAAGUCGUGUUGCUUGAAGAGUGAAAUCCUACAUCGGAUUAUGAAGUAAUGGGUAAGAAACACUGAAGAUACCACAAGCAUGGGAUGCAGCACACGGAUAAAUCAAGCCAGAUUAAAACUGGAUGCCUCCACCCGCUGGGCUGCAUUCACAGGGCCAGAGGGUGCUAUGUACAUGCUUCUGAGGGACAAAGGGCAUCAAUGAUCUUACCUGCUAUGGAUCUGAAGUAUCACAAUACCAACCUGACAAGCAUUUUGGCUCCCAUGUGUGCUAAAAUGGUGUGACUGUUCUGUGGGUAACAAACGACUUUCAGACUGAAUUCCAAGCCUGCUUCAUUGGAAGAAACACCUGGCAUUGUAAACUUGUACAAAAUUUUAUGGCUGGGGGUGUCAUCGGACCUAGGUCAUCUUAUAACUAAUAUUACACUAACUAGGCAUGGGAGUAAAGUGUUCUUCAAAUAUUUCCCUUAAUGCCCUUACACUAGCACUGCUGCUGUUUGCAGAGGCUCAAAGCUGGUCAGAAUGCUGAGAAUAAAAGACUGUGAGGUGCUUAGCAAUAAACGGAACAACUAUAUCACUCCCUCCAAGACCCAAAGGACAACAAAGAGAAGAAGAGAAAAUAUUGUAGAGCUUGAGAGUGUGAGAGUUUCUGCAAAACAGUGUCUUCUGUCUUAUUAUUAUAUGACAAUUGUAAAGAUGAGCACACAGUAGCUAUGGCUACCUGCACUCACAAUACACAGAAAAAAAAAAAAGACCACAGUAAGGAGACUGGUUGGAAAGAAGGAGGCCUAUAGAAGUAGAAAGGGAGAUAAGAAAGGGUAAGGGGAUAUGUGUGUUCACAAAGCAUUGUAUACUUACCUAAAACAUUAAAAAAAUACAUUUAAAAACAAAACAGACUGAAGAGAUGGCUCAGCAAAUAAAAGCACUGUCUGGAUCCAUUUCAACUCCCAGCACCCACAUGGCCACUCACAACUUUCUGUGAUUCCAGGUCCAUGAGAUUCAACACACUCUUCUGAACUCCUCAAGCACCAGGCACACAUGUGAUACAUAGUCAUCAAGGUAGGCAAAACACACCUAUAAAUAAAAUACAUAAAAACAAAAAGAGACAAUAAAUGACAGUAAGACUGGGUAGGUCAUGACGGGCUUAUGCACUGCUGGUAAGAAUGUAAACUGGUCCAGCAUUGAUAGAAAGCCUUAAAAAGACUAAAAAUAGAACUACAAUGUCACCUAACUGUACCACUCAGAGAAGUGGGAUUUUUUUUCUGAGGAAUGAUAUUUACAUUAAGUCUUAAAGGAGUAAAGAAAGUUAAGGUGGAAAGGAAGAGGAAUUAUCCAGAGACAAAAAUGGGUAGAAACACUCAGAGGUAUAGAUCACAAAUACUUGAAUAUUCUAAAUGUAAUGUACUUGGGGAAUAAUUCAGAAGGCUGUCACUAGCUUAUAUUCUACUAAAGAUUCUUAGAAGUGCCCCCCCCAGAGUGUCUUAAGUUAGCUACCACAGCAUCUUAAUAUCAACUCAGGGUGUCAUUAACUCAAUAAAUAAAACUUCUCAUUUUCUUCAGUACUAUUACCCAUUAGCUAACAUUGGAUCUUUCACUUCUUAAUAAAUUGGAGAAAUAUUCUUCAGAACGUAUAAAGCACUUGCUUCUGGGGUAAAAUUUCUCCUAAUUCAUCACGGAGGAGAACACAAAGAACAGUGUGGAAUGGCUCUGGCACAUUAAACCCACGUAUUUUUACUGUCUAUUCUAGAAAAAGUCACAGCAACAACCUUUGCAGAAAUCAGCUCCUCUCCAGGCAGUCAUCAUAAACUCUCACCUAAGUUGUUAUGUUUCACGGGUCAGUGUUUGCAAGCCUUUCUUUCCUCUCCUUCCAGGUGAUCCAGUUUUAUUUGGAAAGCUUUCUAGGCUAAACACUAAGUAAAUAAAUGAAGCCAAUUGCUCAUGUUAUAAGUAUUAUUGUAAGUUGGAAUUGUGUAUUAGAUGUAGACAAUAAAUGUUUAUAAUAGCA
Long non-coding RNA from Mus musculus (house mouse), 3443 nucleotides. RefSeq annotates it as predicted gene, 41190. Lineage: Eukaryota; Metazoa; Chordata; Mammalia; Rodentia; Muridae. The record is from RefSeq and is a predicted model, not a curated record. The transcript has 2 exons.